This is a long non-coding RNA of Oncorhynchus tshawytscha (Chinook salmon), 4013 nucleotides long. The record is from Ensembl. Lineage: Eukaryota; Metazoa; Chordata; Actinopteri; Salmoniformes; Salmonidae.
GUGCAAACUAACAGAGAGUACAAGUAAGACACUAAGGACAAUCACCCACGACAAACUCAAAGAAUAUGGCUGCCUAAAUAUGGUUCCCAAUCAGAGACAACGAUAAGCACCUGCCUCUGAUUGAGAACCACUCCAGACAGCCAUAGACCUUGCUAGACAACCCACUAAGCUACAAUCCCAAUACCACCACCAAAACCCCAAGACAAACACACCACAAUUACAAAAACCCCAUGCCACACCCUGGCCUGACCAAAUACAUAAAGAUAAACACAAAAUACUUUGACCAGGGCGUGACAGAAAGGCCACGGACAUGUGCAGUUGUCACAACGCCACACCCGCAUAGCCAUGUGAAAUCCAUAGAUUAGGGCCUAAAAAAAGUUACUUAUAUGAACUGUAACUCAGUAAAAUCGUUGCAUGAGGUGUUUAUAUUUUUGUUCAGUAUAUCAUCGCCCACCAGAUGUAUACCAAAACAAGUGGUUGAGCUGUUUUUUGUUUUAAAAUUGUACAUGUUGUCCCUGAAGAUUUUGUUGGGUGGUUUUAUAGACUACCCGUAAAACUUUAAUAGCCCGGGCAUUUAUUUACUUCAAUCACUGAACACAACCGCCGCGUAUUAGAGACAGGCAUCUAAUUGAGCCUUUUAUUUACUUUACACCCCCCCCAAAUAUAAUUUAGAGCACAGUAAAAACAUACAAAAUGGACUCCAGCCAUUAUCACCUUGCAGUAGCUUCAUUCACCUCAGUCAAUAUGGGAUUUAACAUUCGACAACACGUCACACAAUAAUUAGAUACUAUGAACUCGCUCAGCACCGGGAUUAAAACUAGUUUAGAUUCAUGUCACAUCAAACAGCAGUUACUUAACCAAAGUCAUCUACUAAAACACUUCGGCGGGGACUGCAGCAAGGAAAAUUGGUGGUGUGACGUCAUCGCAGCAAUGGCAAAAUGUCACAUAGCGACAAAUCAAAGCACCAAUAGCUGAUCUCAAUGAAAAAUAGUUGUCGAACCCUACUCUCCAUAAAGCAAGCCAGCCAGCCAUAGUUGGUUGUUUAGUAACUAUGGGGCAAAACCGACAGGGUUGGCCUAAAUUGUCGAAAAUAUGUGAACUUUAUGUUGUCUCCAAUGUUUAUUGAAAACAAAUACGCUUGCACAAUGAGCACUUGUCUCAUAUACAUUGUUAGUUGUUGGUUUUAUUUAUUUAACUAGGAAAGUCAGUUAAAAACAAAUUCUUAUUUACAAUGACGGCCUACCCUGGCCAAACUCUAACCCAGACGACGCUGGGCCAUUUGUGCACCGCCCCAUGGGACUCCCAAUCGAACCAGGGUGUGUAGUGACCUCUCUAGCAUUGAGAUGCAGUGCCUUAGACUACUGUGCCACAUGGGAGCGAUGGUUACGUAGCUAGCGAAAUUUUGCAAUAUUAUGGUAUCAAGAACGAGAUAAAACUGGCAGAAAUGAGCAAGCUAUGAUUCCCCACACGGAGUUCAUUGAUGCUAGCAAUCUGGCCAUCCAGAAACACAAAAUAAGGACUUCUGCCCAUUGAACCUCCGCAUCGUUGGUGAUGUAGUCAACUAACCCAUCUAGCUGUACAAACAGCCUUGCCUCAUGUUUCUAGGUGUCCACAUGGUCCUAAAGUCACCUUACAAUACCUCUAAACUGUAUUAGCCUUUUAAAUCGGGAUUGGAAUGAUUAGAGUAGCCCAUUUUAAAUGAUUAAACUAGGGUAUGUCGACUAUUAAAAGGGACAGUUAGGCGGUUAUUUGAGACAGCGUUUCAUUUCAGUUUUACCGGUACGCUAAUAACAUGUACUAAUAUCCAAUGGACAAACUAAUAUGGUGGAUGAUGAUGAUGAUAAUAAUAGCUCUCUACUUUACCCCGACGGUCGUUUUUGAUUUACGACCCAAAGCUUCUGUUACGGUGGCUGGGUGCUUGUAUUUGAUGUGGUUUAACAUGCUGCCGUUGUUGUAUCGGAGUAUUGCUUUGCAAAGCCGACAUAUACACAUAUCAAUGCCUUUUCUGGUGAAAUACAUCUAAGAUGUGCUACUUUGAGCACGUCACAUCGCUUCCGUUUUAUGUUGUGACAGCUUUUAUCUAGUCAAAACCUUUCCUUUAGAUCUCUGCUGCACUAGCCAAAUUAGCAAGUUAAAAAACACUAUUUAGAGUGCGGUUUUAACCGAAGGUCAAAUCGGUAAGAAUAACCGGUUAGAUAGCAAAAUAUAUACUUUUUCCCGGCUGGCAUUACAAGCGGAUAUCCGCAAAUCCAUGUAACGGAAAUGUGCGCAUGAUUAUUGAAUCGAUAGAUUAGUCAUGAAUUAAUAUAAUAUAACUCUAAGAACUUCAUUGGUCGUCUCAGAUACAGCUCUUAACAUCAGAAAAUGUAUAGCUAUUUAGUGCCGACUCUUAUACCUGCGGUCUCUUGGGCGCUCCAAUAUCUAUAGCUCCAUUGCUUUUGUCUGGUUACCAGCACAGCGUCAGAAAAGACGGAUGUCUCAAAUUUGUUCUGGUAACGUUAGUCCUUUUCGGAGGUCCAGUUUACCUGAUGCCGAGACUCUAAAUGCCUUUUCAUGCCACUGGUGCUACCUCCUUUACAUCUGAUAUUCCGGUCGCAGUGUUUACAUUUUGCCAGUGCCGCUUCUAUUCUGUCGAAGCUGUGCCACACAGCUGAACCAAAGCUGGGUGAACUUGGUGUAGACAUUGUGAAUGAAGAGAACAAAUAAACAACCAAACCACCAGAGUAACCUACGGGUUACCUUCACCAAAAGAGCUGCGUGAAUGUGAGCGCAGAUACUGUAUAUAAUGACGACAUGGUUUGGUCUCCGCCCUAACAAUGGAAGUAGUUGUCACAAAGGCGGGAAUGUAGUCGGUUUAUCGCUGUAUUCCCGCGGACAGAUUUUGACGGGAAUGAACCCUCUCGCUUCCUCUCUGGUGCUGAUCCCCCUUGAUCAGGACCCCUGUCAGCCCAGUGUGAGAGGCCUGACCUAUGCAUCCCAGGACCCCUGUCAGCCCAGUGUGAGAGGCCUGACCUAUGCAUCCCAGGACCCCUGUCAGCCCAGUGUGAGAGGCCUGACCUAUGCAUCCCAGGACCCCUGUCGGCCCAGUGUGAGAGGCCUGACCUAUGCAUCCCAGGACCCCUGUCGGCCCAGUGUGAGAGGCCUGACCUAUGCAUCCCAGGACCCCUGUCGGCCCAGUGUGAGAGGCCUGACAAGGAGGCGGGCAUAGCUAUUUGUCUCCCACGUCAAUCUUGAGGGUGACUGAAGCCUGCUUGAUUGAAGUGGGGUAUGCGGGUCUCCAUCAAUCUCUGUAGGUGGUUGAGUUUUCUAAAGUCAAAGUAAAUCACGUUUACGUGAUGACAUCACACUUUGUUACUUUGUAUAGUUUCUUGAAGCAUUCGGACAGGAGAGCAGUGCUACAAAUUGUAUGAGUCAAAGGGUCCUGCACACUGUUGGGUGGCCGGGUGCCCAUAUAAGGCAUAUGGCUCUAAUAUAUUUCUUAAAUGUCAAAUGAUGUCUCAUUAUUUCUCACCAUCAUUUAUGUUGAUCAAUAUUUCGGUUGUGCUGGCCUAAUUUGUAAAUGAUCAAAUAAAUGUCUGAUCAAUACAUACAAUUCUGAAUAUAUUGCUAUUUAUAAUGCUAAUGAAGAGGCACCAAUAAAUUGUCCAGUACACUCAUUAUAUGCUGUUUUCAUAUACAUACCUUUAUGUCUACACUUCUAAGGUGUCUCAGGCUUUACUAAUUAUUGUGAAGAAAUGUAUUCUGUAAUUAGUUACAAAACAAUAGUCUGACUAAACUUCAUAUGGAGAAAAGGAAUGCUGUAUCCUAUUUUGGAAACGUACGACUUUGUUAUUGGACUAAUAUAUGCAUAAACACAGUGCAUCUGUACACCAAGAAUGAUAUGUAAAUGUGACACAUGUCAAGAACACGAGCCAGUUCUCUUGGCCAUGAGAGCAUUUUGCAGAGAAAAUGGGUUGUGAAUUACAAUUUAGGUAAGGAUUGUUUACCUUGUUACCAGGCGACGACCACAAGGG